GACGAACGCUGGCGGCGUGCUUAACACAUGCAAGUCGAACGGAGAGGCCCUGCUUUCGUGGGGUGCUCGAGUGGCGAACGGGUGAGUAACACGUGAGUAACCUGCCCUUGACUUUGGGAUAACUUCAGGAAACUGGGGCUAAUACCGGAUAGGAGCUCCUGCUGCAUGGUGGGGGUUGGAAAGUUUCGGCGGUUGGGGAUGGACUCGCGGCUUAUCAGCUUGUUGGUGGGGUAGUGGCUUACCAAGGCUUUGACGGGUAGCCGGCCUGAGAGGGUGACCGGCCACAUUGGGACUGAGAUACGGCCCAGACUCCUACGGGAGGCAGCAGUGGGGAAUAUUGCACAAUGGGCGGAAGCCUGAUGCAGCAACGCCGCGUGCGGGAUGACGGCCUUCGGGUUGUAAACCGCUUUCGCCUGUGACGAAGCGUGAGUGACGGUAAUGGGUAAAGAAGCACCGGCUAACUACGUG
Molecule: ribosomal RNA, 468 nt
Filed under: uncultured bacterium
Lineage: Bacteria
Description: partial 16S ribosomal RNA
Rfam family: Bacterial small subunit ribosomal RNA
Source: RNAcentral